This 248-nucleotide unclassified non-coding RNA is filed under the name Hevea brasiliensis (rubber tree). Lineage: Eukaryota; Viridiplantae; Streptophyta; Magnoliopsida; Malpighiales; Euphorbiaceae. The record is from RNAcentral.
GGGUCUCAGUAAAUCUUUUACCGGUAGAAUAAAUACAAAUGGAGGGCUCACAACCACCUCAACAACAUCAUGAGAAGGGACCUCAGCUUCGUUCAAGGUGGUGACAAUUUUCUUCACUUCCGCAGUUGUUCCAUUGCAUUUCCAAUUGCCGCCAACAAAGAAUUUUCUGGCCAUACUUGGGUGAUAAGAUGGAAAAUAGAAACAGGAAGGAUGAAAAUCAGAGCUGAGAUUUUAUACUGAGAUUUUUG